Mesocricetus auratus (golden hamster) is the source of this 3852-nucleotide long non-coding RNA. RefSeq lists it as uncharacterized. The transcript is spliced from 2 exons. NCBI's taxonomy places the organism in Eukaryota, Metazoa, Chordata, Mammalia, Rodentia, Cricetidae. The record is from RefSeq and is a predicted model, not a curated record.
CUGCUUUAAACAGAUCCCCUUGGGCUGUCUGCUGCCUCUCUCUUUAAACUCACUAUUUUGAUCACUGGAUUUCCUCCCUCCCCUCAGUCUAAGACCUGUGAAGCUUCCCCACUGUGACCAGUCCCUGAGUGUCACCAUCCUGUGCUGAUUCCCUCGAGCCACACUGUUCCUUACCCAGUCCACUCCUCUGCACAGGGUCUCUUCAUUUAAACCAUUUCAGUGAAAUCCUUGAGAGGAUCACCUGUUUCCUGCUGUGGCCAUGACAAAUCUGCCUCAUUCCAUUAGCACAAUAUCCCCAGGUUUCCAAUGUCCUUCCAUAUGUAUUUACUUAAAUGAAAAAUGGCUGUAUAAUCUAAUCGUGGGCAGAUAUCAGACAUAUCCUUAUCGAGGAGCAUUCUCCGACAUAACUGGAUUCAAAAAUAUCAGAGGCAUGAAAAGCUAAGGAAUUACUAAAGAUUAGAGACUCGAGAGACAUGUUGAUGAUAUGCAAGGAGAAACAAGUUUAUGUGUCUUCCUAAAGAGAUAAAUGUGUGUGAAGAUGCAUGUGUACAUAUGUGUGUCUAUUCACAUAUGCAUGACACAUGAAUACAGGAUGCAUGACUCUGAAACUAUGCAAGAACCCUUUGUGUGAAUUGUAGAGCAUUUCACAGCCCAGAUGAAAGCUAACUUUCUGUGGGCCAUUUAUUUGACUGUCUGUCCUUUCUCUUGCAUUCCUACUGCAAGCGCCCCUGUACACCUAUGUUUCUGCAUACGACCCAGGACUAUUGUUGACUAGAGUUGAGAAGCAGAACUGUUGAAUCAGGGACUGUGCACACUUUUACAUUUUGGUGUGUGUUUUGAAUUGCCAAAGAAGCUUACAGCUUGGUAAACACCUAUUCUUUAUUACUGUGAAAUAAAUUAUGAACAAGGUUUUGCAAAAAACAAAACAAAACACCAAAAAACUGGAUGGUAGCUUGUACAACUAGGCUUUUCUGAACAGAUCAAAUUUAGAUCCUAGAUUGGCUACCUUCACAUUAUUUGCAUGCAUUAAUUUCCUCCCAAGGUUCUUCAAGGCCUUCCUGCUCUGCAUCCUCCCUUUGCUGUGGGGUUCCAGGCCCUCCUGCAGAGGCCUGCCUCUCUAAACUCUUGUUUGAAAUGCUAAUUUUCUUCAUGAGGGUAAAAAAACGUUCAAAUACUACUUUCAGCAAUUGAUCAUGUAUGAUUUUUCUGUCAAGUAUAACCUUGCUUUUGCUCAUGUAAGCAAAUAUAAUCAAGGUUUGUGAGAGAACUUUUUGGAAAAUCAGGUGAGUGAAUAUUAAAGUUGACUGGAAACUGUGGCACCAUUGCUCAGCAGCACGCUGAAUAUAUCCACAUGCUUCGUUUUUUGAUAUAAUUACAAAAUGAUAAGGAUGAAAAGGAAGCUGGGAACAUUUUAUCCACCCUCUUUUGCACUGAAGGUGGAAACUGUAGACCUGAUAUGUGGACUGAAAUCACACAGCCCACACAGAACCAGAUGAACCCUGAUCGUCUGACUUUGGCUGUGUCCUUUCCUGCUUCCCAUCUGUACAGUCCAGGAAGUCCUUCAAAGAUGUCUUUCAUUGUUGUUGGUAUACGCUGUUGUGUGUCCCAGUGGAGGCCAGGCUGGAAUUGGGCUUACAACAGUUGUGAGCUGCCUGAUCCCAGUUCAAACCCUCGGGAAGAGCAGUCAGUGCUCCUUAACCAUUUCUCCAGUCCUGCCUUGGAGGUCUUAGGCUUCUGUGAAGCAAGAUCUGUGUCUGGUGAAGCCACAGUCUGAAGGUUACUCAGAGUAGGGAAGGUAAAAGGAAAACAAACCAACAAACAAAUAAAAAUAUUCUAGCACUCCUGAAGAAUUAACCUAAGACAUUAUUUUAACUUGCUUACAGCCAGGGUAUAAAAAUGGGAAAUAGUCAGUUCUCUCUGAUUGCUGAGAAAUACAUGGAAAGGAAUGAUAUAGCUUUGGGUAAUGCAAAUGUGUUAACGUCGUGUAAGUCCCAAAAUUUGCUCCUGCAUUAACUUCAGCAUGAUAUGCACACUAAAUGUUACUGUAUUUGGAAAUAAUUACCUCUUACAAAUGAUUCGUGAAGAGAAAACUCUGGUAAGUUAGCUUCCAGUUCUCUUCAUGGAGAAAUCCAAACUAUGAUCAACCAUUCAUCUUCUAAAAUUAUAAUAAUUUUCUAAAUGUUUAUGCCACAGUAAGAUGACGUAUCACACAAGUGUUGGUGCCAACCACAUGCAACCCUGCCAAAUCACUUGCCAAAUAUCUUGCCUUGGAGAUGUAUUUUGUGUUUAGCUGGACGUGGGUGUAUGCAGCAUUCUAUACACUCGGAAAAUUUCAUAAAGAACUCUUAAGUUUGAGUACAAGGCCAUUUUUGCAUUUUCUUCCUCACUUUGGAGGGGUCAUUUGCAGAAUGUAUUGGGGAUUGGGAAAAUUGCAUGAGUGUAGAAGAACAUUGUAGAGCAGAGUGGGGUUAACUUGAAGAUCUGACCUUCAAGAGAAGGAGAGUGGCUAGUCAGCAAAAGAAGGCUUUGAUUCUUAGGAUCUCUGGAAUGUGUUCCCCAUGGGGAUUGAUAUGAUUACCUUGAGGGAUCCAUGUGGUUGCUGUAGUUAGUCAGUAGUUGAAAAAGGUUUCCUGUGCUUAAGCAGAAGGUUAGGUCCCAACUGAGUGGUUUUCAGUUCUGUCCCAAUCUCCUCCAUUUCAAAUCAAUAUUUUGCUACACCCACCAUUUAACAUUCAUUAAUAAAAUGAUCUAUAUGGGAAUACAUCUUUUAAAAACGAAUACGUGGGACUGGGAGGUGGCUCAACAGGGAAGGACCUGGCUGCACUAGCAUGAGGAUCUGAGUUCAGAUCCUCAGCACCCAGGUGGGAAAAAAGGCAGACAUGCUAAUGGAGGCUUGGAGGCAAAGACGGGAGGAUCCUGGGGACUCUCAGCCAAUUGGUGAACUCCAGGUUCAGUGGGAGACUUUCUUUUAAAAGAUAAAGUAAGAAGAUCAUAGAAAUAUUCACAGUCUCUCCUGUUGCCAUGUGACUCAGGUGGCUAAAAGAUGCCCACGGGCCAGCCUGGUCCUCAGUCUGGGCUGGCUGAAAGCAUCCACAGGCCAACCUGGCACUGCCCUUUGCUGAACUCUGCAGCAGGAGAGCUGGCCCCACGCUACACCAUAGCAUGGGCGUGCUGACCCUGAUGGUAUGGGCUUAGUAGAGCUGGCUCUACCCCUCACCUGAGGGGGGUGGUCCUAGCGGCCCAGACUGCCCAGCUCAGCAAUAACCCAGACCCACAUCCUGGGCCUUGGAUUGGCUCAACUGUAACAUCUACCCCAUCUAUGACCUGCUGGAGUACAUGAAGGGACUACUCCUGCAGAAUGAUAGCCUCAGGAUCUCCAUGACUCAGAACAAUAGCAGGAUAGCUGAGAGGAAUUUCAGUAGGUGAAGGUCCAGUGAUGAUGGUGUGCCAGAGGCCUUGAACCAGACCAAGGACUCAUUUCCAUUGCACAGUAGGGUAUGAUGUGCGAUGCACGGCAGUUCCCAGUGCCACUAGGAAGAAUGAAGAGGUGUUGGAGCGACAGGAAAGAUAGAAGAGCAAGGUCCAUGUGCUGAAGACUUGGUCCCCAGGUCAUGGUGCUGUUGGGAGGUGGUAGACCAUGUGGCUGGUGAAGGAUGUAGGUCACAGGAGUAUGGCUUUGAAGGGGAUGUUGGGAUCCUGCACCUUCCUGUCUCUGGCUACCCAGACACAGAGAAGCGCAGAGCAACAGUCAUGGACUGAAACCUGACAAACUUUGACCCAAAGAAUAAACCUUUUAUUAUCCUUGUAUUAUUAAAAAAUAACCUUUGUUACCAAUAAACCUCUAUUGCUGAA